Long non-coding RNA from Marmota monax (woodchuck), 16559 nucleotides. RefSeq lists it as uncharacterized. The record is from RefSeq and is a predicted model, not a curated record. NCBI's taxonomy places the organism in Eukaryota, Metazoa, Chordata, Mammalia, Rodentia, Sciuridae. The transcript is spliced from 5 exons.
AAACUUGGGAUCCUCCUGCCUUGGCCUCUCAAGUAGCUGGGAUUAUAGGUGCGCACCACCGUGCCCAGCUGCAUUCUGUGAUCUCACCUAUAAGGUGAAGGAUGUGUUGAGCGAAGGCCACUGGAGCACCUCCCACAAUCAGAAGCAGUAGCUACCACGUGACUAGAAAGGUAGGGUGGGGUGACAGUGAGAAAGUCUUCAUUUUCCAAGUCACAGUGGCUGGUUAACAGGAGACACCAGAAAGCUGGACAUUUAGAUGACAUGCUUCUUAUCCUUGUGAUUUUUAUUUAGUAUGAAGGGUUUCUCGCUCUCCCUGUACAUCUUCCACGAGGGUCCAAGAACUCAGCGAGGCUGGUUAACUCAAUUCGUGUGAUCUGAACUUGUCACAGUAGCCACAAAGUAGUUGCUUUUAUUGCAAAAUCUCCUUUAAGGUUUUCUUAUAAUUUAGUCUCUACUUUGAGAAAGAGUCUUGGCUUAUUCUUUGUUUUGGAAUUAGAGAUUAUCAUAGUUGUGUUCCUUGAUACCAAGGAUGUUCCCAGUCACAUCACCCACCUUCCUGGGCUGACUCUGGGCCAGAUAUGGACAGGAUAUGAAGGAAGUGGGACCACAGUCCUGCACUCAGGGGUGUUUACAGUUAGAUGAAAGGAAAAAAAAAAAAACCCAAAAAACUAGAACAUCGCUAGCUGAGAUUAAUUGCUGUUUUAAGGAUUAAGAUCACAUCUAGCAAAAUGGAGUCAAUUGAAACACUUUAUGUGGAAACCCAGGAAAUUUUACUGGCAAAAUUAUUUCAACAUUUACAGGUCUGAACUUUUGACUUUGGAUGUCAGCCCAACUGAAUGUUUAGGGACCGAGAAUAAUGAUUAAUUACCAUUUCUCCAAAGAGGCUGAAGUGUUGAGGAGAGACGAAACAAGGCUCUUUUAAAAUUUAACACAUUUACUCGAAGAUUAGAUGAGGGGAUAAAUAAUAUAUAACAAAAGCGGUAACUGAGACCGCUCCGUGAUAUGGGAGGAGCAAACGGUGCUGGGUUGCUUCUGCAUCAGAGUUAGCUGCUGUCUUUGGGCUCAGCAUCUCAAACAGGACACGGCACACAGCAACCCCUCAGAACACAGGCAAGAGUGAGUGAGUGAGUGAACGCAGGGUGUCUGGGCUCAGCCUGUCCUGGGCAAUCCAGCUCUGGAGCCAAAUGUGUGUCCUCACCCACACCAACAAGAGGCCUCCCAAGCUCACAUCCGUGGAUCACCUCCGGGCCUGUCAACCGUGACUUCGUCAUACGCCUUGAUCGUCCCUCUCUCUCACACCAAGCAGCUCAUGAAAACAUCCCUUUCACCACACAGACUCCUUGAAGAGAGGCCUGGGACAGACACCGUGGAGAACUUCUUUGUAAACCCGUGAACCUCACUUCUCAAGUUCCACAGACUCGUUCCUGAAAGUGACCUGUACACUGCAGGACCAGGCAGGAGGGCAGCGGAUUCACCUGCUUUCCUCGGGCCCAAGGGAGCUGCAGGCAGAGUGCCGUCUUCAUCAUGACUGGUCCCUUUAUACGCGAUGCCUACUGACAGGUGCCUCACAGGACCACAGGAGGCGAGGCAGGCGGAAUACCUCUCUCCUUGGGCCUCCUGCUCCAAGUGUGCUUAGACUCUAAAACGGCUUGUGCUAUUGUUUGAAUGUGUGCCCCCAAAUUCAUGUGCUAAAAACUUUCGCCCCAGUGCAGCAGUGCAGAGAAGUGGCACCUCUAAGAGGUGGUUAGAUCCCGAGGACUCCGUCUUCAGGAGGGUGUUAAUGCCAUCAUGGGAGGUGGGGGGCCAUUACUGCAGGAAUGCUCCUGAGGAAAGGGGGACUUCCGCCCCUUCUCCCUCUCAUAUCUGUGCUCUUCGGCUCUAGUGUGAUGCAGCAAGAAAGCCCUCACCUGGGACUUCCCAGCGUCCAGGCCAUGAGCCAGCUAAACUUCCAUUGCUCAGAAAUGACUCAGUUUGUGGCUUUCUGUUAUAGCAGCAUGCAGCGCACUGAGACUGCUUUCUUGGCAGAAAAAAGCAGAAUACCCAGAUUCUAUCCUAAGAUGCCGAGCCAUUCUGCGGCUCCUUAUGCACCACAAAUGGUAGGAUCAAAACACCAGACCUAAAAUUUCCCAGUGAAGUUGAUGGGGCUCAACCCCCGUUGGCCGGGUGCCUUGGGUGGUUAGCCAUCUCCUACUCCUCCUUCAGUCACUCCACCUUCAGCUCAUUCUGUCACCUUGCUGUCAGAGACUUGACGUCUCUGGUGCUCUACUUCUGCUUUCUUCACCCAGGCCCAGCUAUUUACCUUCCCAGAUACCGACUUCCUCCUGAAAAAGGUGACAACGGCUUCUGGUCCUUUUUGCUCUCAUACUGCACACAGAUUGUCCUCUGCAAACUUGAUCCAGGCUGCUUCCCUGGACACUGUUUGGAAAGAAGGGCCCCUGACCAGAGGGAGCUCUAGAAACAAACACAACUUUCUUGUGGAGCUGCGGCCAGCCUGCCUUUCUGCCCACCUCCAUCCUGGGAUCCAGGGGUCCAUGCCAGACAGUCCUGCCUCAGCCGCCCUCACGAUUCCAAGGGGGAAAACAAAUCUACAGAAGGGAGAGAGUAUUUCAGUGAGAGGAUGUGGCCUGGGGAGAGAAAUAGGAAUGAGAACUGGUUUGAUCAGAACUCAUGCUUCAAGUUGGAGUUUUCAAGUGUUUCAAGGAGGAGGAUCAGUGGGGUAAAAAUAUUAAAGACUAGUGUUAAGGAAUUUGGAAUCCAUUAGUUAAAAACCAUUUGAGAUAGUUUCAUAACAUUAUUGAUAUUAGCAUUUUUAUUUACUGAGAAAAAAUGUGUAAGAUAUUUCACUAUGAUUGAUGAGUGUUUAUGUUCCUUGAAGUUUUAUUUAAUUGUUGUUUUACUUAUUUUGAGACUGUGUUAUUCAUUGCAUACUGGUUGAGAAUUGCUAUACUUCCUUAUGAAUUAACCUUUAUCAUCAUAGAGUGGCUACCUUAUCUGAAAUAAUGAAUUUUGUCUGUAAUUCUAGUUCAUAUGAUAUUAAUAUUAUACCACCAAUUUUCUUUUGGCUAGUAUUUGACCCAGAGUAAAAUAUUCUUUGUUGCUGGACCAUCUUGGAAAUGUUCCUUUCGCGCUUUUAACCUAUAUUAACUAUGUAAUUCUGUUUCUUCUCCCCACUGCCAUUUAAUAGUACUCCCAAACCUGGGCUUGAACCUACAGGUAUAUGUAUACAGGGAUGCACAUACUAACUUGUAUGUGCUGCUUGUUACUAUCUCCCAAAGAGAGUUUAUUGUAUGAAUCUUAAGCUCAUUUGAGACUCAUUUCACAACUUACCUCCAGUCUCACAUUAUCACCACCUCUCAUCCUUUUUCCCUAAAAAAUGAACUCCUUCCCUAUAUCUCCUACUCCCUUCUUUUUUCUUGAGUGUGGAGCCUAGGAGUCAUCCCUCUCUUGUUUGUUUAGCUUUCACCAGCCUGGGUCCAGUGGCCUUGGCUGGAGAGGCCAACAGAACCUCAGCACAGGCUCCCAGGAGAGGCUAAAGGCUGGCAUGCAGGGGAAAGAAAAGCUAAUAUGUAGAACAUCUGCCAAAUUCUUCCUCUUCCUCUGAAAUUCUGAUCCUUUGAAGCCCUUGAUUGUCCUGGAAAGUUUUGCAAUCCAAGGUCCCCAAAUUCUCAAGUGAGGUCUUUAGUAAAAGUGAAAUUCAGUGAAAUCCCUGGCAACAUCUCCCUGGAUGGGAAAAGGAAUCAGGAAUCAGAUUCCUGAUCUGGGAAGCUGUGUAUCACAAUAUGGUAAGGUGUGUGCUCAGGGCUUGAGCAGGGAAGGGCCUGUCCAGCUGAGAAUGACCUCCUCCUCCCUACCAGAAUCUUGUUCCCAACUCUACCUGAAGCCCAGGAUGGAGAGAGAGAGAGAAAAAAAAAUCCUUCUUAGAAGAUUUUCCAUUAUUUUUCUCCAUGUGAUCAGCACGGAUGAAAGAGUUCUGUGAUUGAGUUGAGGGUCACAUCUAACUAUUGGACCAUGGCAACAGAUACUGAGCAUCACAAUUGGUUGUCACAUAGGACUUUCGUGGGGUUUGGAGUUUUAAAUGCCAUUGUUGUUCUCUAUAUGGUAACCCCCUCAGCGCUCUCACUUACGCGCUCUCUCUCUCUCUCUCUCUCUGUCUCUCUCUCUUCCUCUCCCCCCCACCGGCCCUCUCAGGUGAAUUCAGGUGCCCUGGUGUCUGUAAAAGUCUUGUCUUUAGAAAUCCUUGCCCAGCUUUCUUUCACUCAGAGAAUUGGUUUUCUCUCAAGAAAAUGCUCUUUCCUUUUACUGCACAGUGAACUGGGAGCCCUAAAAGGAGUGGACGGAGACAAAAGUGAGGCCAGUGGAAUUUGCCAUAUUGGACCCCAGGAGAUGAGAGAAUUAUCAUUCAGUUCUCUGAAACCUGAAGUUUUAGGGGUCUAUUGAGAGGAGAAAAAAAUGUUCCUUGGUUUUUGUGACCUACUUAAACAUUCUUUGCAAGCUGUAAUCAUUUGAGGUUUUCUAAGAAAAGAGGAGAAAAUAGUCUAAAUAUAACCCUGAAAGGCAGGUAACCUGACAACAAAGCAACCCAUCUGCAGAGAUGAUUUCUCUGGAAACUGGCAAAACAGGCGAUUUCCCUGGUCAUUCCUGGCGUGCCUGCUACCACACCUCAUCCCUGCUCUGGAUUCCUGGUGGCACUACUGGCCUUUUUUCCAAAUGUCGUGCCAGGGCCACCCACAUCCCAUUCCUCCCACCUGGAACACCCAGCUCACUCCUCCCCCAAGCCUUUCCCACCUACCUUCAAAAUGCAGUUUGAGACCCUUCGCAGAGAUUGACUCAAAGCCAGCUCUUCCAUUAAGCCUGUGGUUCUGUCUCCAGCCCCUCGAGACUCUUGGAACCUUCGUCCAGUGUGCUGUAAGGUAGGGACAGCAGGGAAUGCAGGGCCAGCCGUUUGGUCCAGUGGUGGAGGUGGACCUGUGCUGUCUGCCCGCACUCUGCCGUGGAGUCUGCCCUGUGAGGAGCACCAGUUCUGUGCCAGCAGGGCUGCAGGUGCAGGCCAACCAAGAACGGCAUGGAGCUCGCUCAGCUCAGCUGACCAGCUGCACCCUCGCAGCCACAGGUCACCCCUCCUUGCUCUUUAUGCAUAUUGGCAUUCCAUCUUUUCUCCCGGGUGGCAGGUGUUUCCAGAGACGGUGCCUGAGUAUAUUAAGGGAUGUGGCAGAGUAGAAAGGUGGUAAGAGCAGUCAGCACAUGUGAGAAUGUGGUGAUCUUGCAGGCCUUCCACCAUAAGGAUGCACUUGCUCCUUGGAACCACACCAUAAAUGCCACAAAGGAGGCAUUACUCUCAUUUUAAGGAUUAGAAAAAUAAAACACAGAGGACAUGCAGUCAGUAAAGGCCAAAGCCCAGGCUCUUGACCCUAAGCCCUCGACCCAUCUGGGUUUUGGAGUCACACAACACACACAGGGCUGAACUCACACUGACUGGACUCAGGAAGAGGCAUGGUCAUCUGGUAUUCUUAUUCAAUCUCUUUCAAUCUGAUUUGAAAAAGUGACAGAGAGAAAGUUAUGCAGCUUAGAUAUUUAGCUCUAGAUGAGCCUGGACAUCACAGUCAAGGUGGUCACCAAGGGUGGGCAGGGACCAGCACUUAGCAGGUGCAGUGAGUGCACUCAUCAUGUUGGGGAGCCGAACAGGACUCCCACGAAGUCGUUUCUGUCCCUCUCAGGUUCUCUACGCCAGGGUGACACUGUGGUUUUAAUAGUUUUAGGUGUUAAAGUCAUUAGAAGGUAAGUAGGAACCAUCACUGAAACUUUUCUUAUUUUAUAUGAAAGGGAAAGUUUAAAACCUUGCAUUUAACAACUAACUGGAAUAAAAGUUCUAACUUUUAUUUAGAACUGCCAUAUCAUCGAACAUAAAGUUUUCUUUUUCACUGUCUGAAUCUGAAACUUUCAGGAUUAUUUUGUUAAGAUCUGAAAAGGUAAUUUGACAUACUGAUCUAUAAAGUGUGAAUUACCCCAGGGGUUAGGAGGUAAGUUUCUGUAGUAAUUAGUGUGCCAGAAAUAAUUUCCUCCCUCUCCCCCGCCCCUUCCCCCCACGUACUCGCUUUACUCUGGGUCUCUCAAGUCAUUCUUCCAGGACUGCCUAAUGUAAUGAAUUCCUCCCCCUCCACCCUAGGGAGGACCAUUAUUGCCAUUCUCUUGUGGAGCUGUGUGCUUUCUUGUUGACCUCGUGGUAUAUCACAGAACUGUAAAAUUCUAGCUGUCAGUAAUGUGCUGGGAAAGGCAAUUUUAAUGGGGUGAUUUUUUUCUGCAAGCGAGGGUUAGGCAGGACCCUCUCUCUAUCUUUCCCGCUUUCUUGGUUCUGUACUCAGGAUCUUGGUGAGAUUUGAGGCUAUCUGGCAAAGUCCAUGUUCUCCCACUUAUCAGCCCGCUGGUCCUGAGAAGCUAUUGAUAGUCACUGAGCCGUGUGUAAAACUGGGAUGAAAACAUUUGCCUCCCUCCCCCACCAGGGCUGUAGAGUAUCCUGGUUAUUCACAGAAAGUGGAAAUGCUUUGUAUGCUCCUAAGUUUUAUUUUGAUAAAUGAGGACAACUGCCAAGUUGUGCAUGCCCAGGAGCCAGGUGCUCUAGAUCCGCUAUUGAAAUAUCCGCACCAAGUCCACAAGGUGUCCCAUUCUGUGAUGGGAACUGCAGGGCUUGAGGGAUGAGUGCAUUGCUGAAGGUGACGAAGAGGUCGUAGGACCAAUUUCCUUCAGAGCAAAUUGCUACAUAGCUUUAUCAAAGGUCUUUAUUCUUGUGCCAGCCCUUGGCCAUAAAGACAGUAUAGAAGAUUAACCACAAGUCCCCGACCCUAGGGCACAUUGUUUAGCUUCUAUAAGUUGUAAGUAACAGAGACUCUCAGUUUAAAGGGAUUUCAGAGAAAUCCAGGGACGAAAACUGAAUUACAGUUGGGUGUUGAUGGAAGCUGGAGAAUCAAGACUACUCUUGCCUUCCUCCUCCUCCUCCUCCUCCUUCCCUCCUUCCUUCCUCCUCCUCUCCCUCCUCCCCCUCCCUCUUCCUCCUCCUCUCUCUGGCCACACAGUGGAAAAUCCUUUUGCGUGCUCCUCCCCCUUCUUUUCUAUUUUGCUGGGCUCCCUGGUGACCUCUUGCCGGUGGCCCACACGGUUUCCCCACACUCUCCACAGUGGCACCUGUUGCUGGGCCUACUUGGCUUCUGCUCCUACUGCAGAGUGGAAACCCUCCAGAGUCUCAUGGUUCCCAUUCCCAGGGAAGAAGCUCGUUGGUUCCAUUCACACCUUCCGCUCAGGUCUCAGGUCUCUGAGUGCUGACCAGGUCCUGGGUUGGUAGCUUUUGCUUCAGGAUGGCUCUGGGACUGACCGGAAGCCAUGGAAGAGCAGCAGAUGAGAGCGGCAUGACUAUCUGGAAGGCGUUUUUGCCUUUCAUUUGGGGCAAAAGUCCCGUAUAUUCCUGUUGCCUUUUAGCUCUUGUUCCCUUCUUUCCAACAUAUUCUCUGUUUCCAAAAUAAUUUUCAGUAAUUGGGUCCCAGUUGAUUCAGAUUUUAUGAUAUAGGUUCCAGGAAGCACGGGACCUUGAAUCUUGCCUUCUGAUUCCCCAUUUCUGGUAUCAGUGCCAUAGUUCCAUAUAUCAUUAUUUCACAUGUUUUUGAAGAAGGUAGUAGCAAACCGUGUCACAGUAUUUCAAAAAGCUUCUAUUAACAGAAGCCACUGGGUCCCAAGAUUAUUGCUGGAAUAUGUGCAAUUUAAUUUAAAACAUGUUCAAAGUAGAAAGUCUCUGAGUAGUGAAGGAAAGGAAGGGCUGGUCUUCCCUCCUGGGCCUCCGGCCUGCUGCCUUCCCACCGUCCUAGGUUCUGCUCUCCCGGCUGUGGGGCUUAGCAGGGAGGCCUUCUCUUGCUUUACUUGAAUAUCUGCUUACAACUAUUUUUCAUUUAAAAAAAGGACAGCUGUUGUUCAGUGGACACAUGCACGGCUCAGUUCUGCGUACACGGCUGUGGGGUAGACAGCUCUGUUUAGGGCAGGAGCCCCAGGGGAGCUGGGACCGAACUCUGAUUUAUGCUGACUGCGGUUGUGGGAGAGUGGAGAGCCACGUGUCGACACCCCAUCACGUUGGGUCGGGUGGCUGAAACCUCCCUACGACUCACGGCCCAACUCCUGGAUUUAUCUGCCUCUUGAAGAGAAAGUGCUCGUCACUACUGGAAGGUUUUCUGUUUGGGGUAUGGGCUUCUCUGUUUCCCAAUCUUACUUUUCUUAAUUCUGUCCACACUCUAGAAGCCUCCACUCUGUUAGCAAGACACCAGGUUCUUCUGAUGCAAACCUGACUUAGACCUUGGGCUCCGUGGGCUUCUUCAGGCCCUAAGUCUGUGAUCGGGUAGAUUGCCUUGUGUGCAAGUAGUCAGACGGGGCUGACAAUCUCUCACUCUGAGGCAGCAUUAGGCCCUCUUGCUUCGCCAUGCCACCUACCCCUGGCAGGGAUAAAAAUUAAUUGUUGCAAAAACAAGACAGAGAGUUCCUCUAUACAUUCACCUGCUUACCCCAGAGUCGACAUCUUAAAUAACCACAGCAACAGUGUGGAAAACAGGAAAUUAACCCUGAUACAAUACUGAUUUCUCAUCUACAGAUCUUUCCAAUGUUCACCAGACUUCCCACUGAUGUCUUUUUUUGUUUUCCUGGUAUAGACUCUAAUAAUACAGGAUAUUAUUUGCAUUUACUUGCCUGGUCUCCUUAGUCUUGUCCAAUCUGUGACAUAAUCAGUCUUUUUCAUCUUUCAUAGACUUGACACUUUUGAAGAGAACUGGUCAGUUAUUUAUAGAUGUCCCUUAGUUGGGAAUGGUCUUAUGUUUUUUCAUUAUUACUUUGAGGUUGUACCUUGCAGCAAAGAAUACCACUGAGUGACAUUGUGUCCCCCCUUUGCAUGUCAUACCUGAGGGCCUGUGACAUCAAUGUGACCUUCUACUUUAACUCUCAAUGAAGGGGACAUCUCCCAGGCUCCUCCACCUCCACGUCACCAUCCUCCCUCUAUAGUCAGUGAGCAUCCUGUGGGAAGGUGCCUAGACCCCAUGCAAACCUCCUGUUUCUUGUCAUAUUUUUACCCACUAUUUUUAGCAGUUCUUAAAAAUUCUUGCCUGUAAAAGUUAUUAUUCCUAUAUUUGCCUAGCAGAGAUUUUUUCUACUUCUCCUCUAUUGGAAGAAAGAGCUGUCCCUUCUCUCCUAUUGACUUAGCUGUUUGUUUAUAUUAGGAAAACUUGUGGGUCAUAAGUUUGAUACUAUCGUUAUACAUUUUGUGGCUCAAGUGCAACAAGCAUUGGUCAAGAACUUGUCACGUUGCUUCUCUGUCCUUCUAACGUACUCCCAUGUUUUUCAUUGUCGAGCUCAUGGCUUGGCAGCGUGGUUGUCCGAGAUGAUGUUUCCGUUUUCCUAGACGGAGCCCUGGACUCCCAUUUCUCUAGGGUUAACCCAUUCCUUAUAUUGGAGAAUAGUCUUAGAACCAAGACCAGGCACCAGGGAUGCUCUGCUUGGGUGUCACUGUCCCAGUCCUAUGCAAUCAGCAGGACAUGCAGCGCCCUUAUUUCUUUUUACAUUGAUCCCUUGGACCCAGGUGGGAAACCAUACAGUCAGGCUGUGAUUCAGCCCACACCAGUGCCCAUUUACGGCCUUCCUCCUCUCCUCAUUUAACAACUCCUGCUGACCAUGAAAAAUGUAGCUUUUAUUAUCCACAUUAUAAUAUUUUUUUCUAGAAUUUUUUAAAGUUAAAAGAAUUAUUUUAAUUUACACAUGAUUAUGGGGUACAGUGUUACAAUUUCACACAUACAUGUGAUUGUAAGGAUCUAAUCAGGGUAAUUACAUGUCCAUCUCCCUAAACACUUGUUCUUUCUUUGUGUUGGGAGUCUUGGAACUCUUCUCUUACAAUUCUUAGUAAGUUAUAUUAAAAAUUGUUGCCAUUUGUAAACUAUAGAUACCUUACUGUGCUGUAGAAUACUAGAACUCAUUCCUCUUUUCUAACCUGUUACCCAUAUUGACUUAAUUUUUUUGAUCCUAGUAAACACAUAAAAUAGUUCCAGAAUGAUCAAAUCGUAUUAAUCUCCCACCAAAGUGGAGAAUUCGUGAGAAUUUUUUUCCUUCUUCAGCCUCUUAUAUCUGGUUAAAUACCAUUUCCUCAGGAUACCUGGACUAGUUUUUCACCUUCCCUUCAGUCUGGUUAUGUUAAUCAUUUGUAAUACAGUAAAGCUCAUUUAUUGCUGUUUGCAUUCUAUCCUUGUUGAUUUUGAAUUGUUUGGGUUUUUUGUUUAUCGUGAAAUAUUUUAAUUUCAUUGUCAAAUCUGAAGUUUAAUUUUGCUGGAUACAGUAUUCUUGGUUGGAAUCCAUUAUUGUUUGGGUUUUUUGAUAUAAGAAACAUUACUGUGGCUGUGAGAAUCAUAACAUGUCAAAAGAUAGUCUCAAAGAAAUACUGCUUCCCACUGUUUCUGUGUCUCUUCCCCACUCCCUCCACCCUGUCCUCGCCCACUCCUCCUAGGCCACAAUCUCAGUUUCUGGUUUACCCUUCUCGUAUUUCUUUUGUAUUUGCACAAAUGAGCAGAUACAUUUUUAACAUAUCUUCUUUUUUACACGAAGGGUAGCACUAUAGACAUUCUUAUUUACUUGGUUUUUUUUUUUUUUUAACACUAUGUCCUAAAAGUGACAGAAAUAGUCCAUAUUAGGCUGCAUGGUGCUCCAUUGUAUGAAUGGACCAGUUUAUUCAAUUACUCUCCAGGGCUUGAAAAAUUUGGUUGUUUCCAUUUCAUUGCAACUACAAUCAGUGCUGCAACGACUAAGGCAUUGUAUGAGAAUUAAUUUGUCAAGUUUUGUUAUGUACAUAUAUGAAUCUACCACAGUGAAUUUCACAUUUGUGUAUAUCUAUAAAGGAUUAAUUUAAAAAAACGCUAAAGAUAAAUAGAAGAAAUGCCAGUAGCAUAGAAAAAGGAAACAGGGAAAGGGAGGAGGGAGGGAAGGCAGAAAUACUGGGCACUGAACUGGAGCAAAUUUUCUUGCAUACUUGCAUAUGUAUGUCAAAAUGAACCUCCGUAUUAUGUAAGACUAUAAUGAACAAAUUAAAAAAAAAAUUUUAAAACCCUGUUGAUUGAAAUUCCAUUAAAUUUACAGAUUGAGUGUAACUGAGGUCUUUGUGAUUUUGCAUUUUCCAACCCAAGAAUACAUAUGUAUCUCCAUUUGGUUAGCUUUUAUUUUAGACUAUCAAUAAAUAUGUCUUUAUAAUUUUUCCUUAAGCAGUCUUGAACAUAUAUUGCCAGUUUUAUUUCAAGAUCCUGAUUAGUAUUUGUUUUCUGUUAUUGUUGCUAUUGUAAAAGGAAUCCAUCUUAAAAUUACAGUUCUCCUUCUCUCUAUUUACAUGCACAAGCUGAUAUUGUAAACCAUUGCUUUAACGCCUUUGUAUCACCAGUAUGUCCUCUGUUUCUUCCUACUAAUCCUUUACUCCUUCUUUACCCCUUCCAUGGUGUUGUUUAUUUCCUCCUUAACAAAAUUAGCUAGAAGUGAUAAUAAAGGAUAUUCUUAUUUUUGAUCAGAACUUAAACAGUAGUGUUUGUGAUAUUCAUCAUGAGGCAUAAUAUUUGCUGUACAUUUUGAGUAGAUGCCCUUUAUCAGGUUAAGGAAUUGCCCUCCUGUUUUUUUUUUUUUUUGUUUGUUUGUUAGCUAUCAGUUUAAUCAUAUUAUUGAAUACUAUAAAAUAUUUUAAUGUCUGGGGGCCUCCUCUUUCCCUCUGCAUUGGGUUUUGUUUUAGUUUCCUCUCGACUAUUGUUACCUGUUUGUUCAUAAAAGCUGUAAUAUCACAGAACCUACCUCUGUGAAGAAACUUGUUGGCAAUUUUUCUCCAUAAUAUAAAAUUUUGAUAUUUGAAAUAAUAAUAUAUUAAUAUAUGUUUGAAAGUUUCUGAAAUUUGUUUGCUAAUAUUUUAUUUUGAAAAUUUGCAUCUCUGUUCAGGAGCAUGAUUGAAUUUUCAGUUUUCUGUCUUUUGAGAUCAAAGUAUAUCUGCCUCAUGAGAUGUGUGUUUACGUAUAGGUUUCUUUCUCUUUUUUCCAUUCUCUUCAAGACUUUGGAAUUAUUUAUUCCUUGAAGAUGUGGUAGAAUUUCUGUUUAAAACUCUUUGGCCCUGGUGUUUUUUAAUGAGCAGAUUGCAAUUACUGAUUCAAUUUCUCCAGUUCCUCAGUGGUUUAUUCAGAUUUUCUGUUUCUUUUUCAAACAAUUUUGAUUAUGUAUUUCAAUAAAACCCCCUGUUUCCCUUAUUUUCUAAUUCAUUUACAAUAUAUUUGCUAAAGCAUUCUUUUAUGAUCCCUAACCAUCAUGUUUGUAGCUGUAGACUCCGUUUGUCCACAGUAUCUUUUAUUUGUACUUUCUUUUUGUUGAAAAAAAAAGAAAGUUUAUCUACUUUUAAAGAAUUGGCUUUGGGUCUGUAAUUUUUUUCCCCCACUACUUCAUUAUUUUGGUUCAUUAAUUUUCAGUUUUUAUCCUUUUCUUUCCUCUAUUCAAUUUUCUUUGCUGAGAUUUCUUUUCCCUAAUUUUUUUGAUUGUACAUUUAGGUCAUUAAUUUUCAAACUUUUAUGUCAAGUGCAUGUACUUAAGCAAUAAAUUUCCCUCUAACUGUAGCUUUAUCUGCACCUUAGAGAUUUUUAUAAAUAGAGUUUUAAAUGUAACUCAGGGCUAAAUAUUUACAAUUAUUCUUCUUAUUAUUAAUCUGUGACCUACUUAAAAUCAUUUCAGAAACUUCUUAUUAAAGAUACAUUCAGACUUUUUCUUCUGGAUGGUAGAUUAAAAUUAGAAGUUGAUUAAGAUCUUGCUUAGAGAGAAGAAAAACAUGUUUUAAAAUCCCCAUAUGCAUAAGAUUUUUGUUUUUAAAAAUCAUUGAUUUAGCCAGGCAUGGUGGUGCAUGCCCAUAAUCCCAGUGGCUCGGGAGACUGAGGCAGGAGGAUCCAUGUUCAAAGCCAGCUUCAGCAAAAGUGAGGUGCUAAGCAACUCAGUUAGAUUUUGUCUCUAAAUAAAAUACAAAAUAGAACCGGGGAUGUGGCUCUGUGGUGGAGUGUCCUCGAGUUUAAUCCCCAGAAUCUCCCCAAAAAAGAAAAAAAUCAUUGAUUUAUAAUUUAAUUGCCCUGUGGUCAAGGAAAUCUUUUUGUAGAUAUCAGUUCUUUGCUAUAUGUUUACAUGUAUUUUGUGGCCUAAAAUGUCAUCAGUUUCUGCAAAUGUACAAUGUGUACUUGAACAGAUGGUGUAUUUUUUUUUGUUAGUUAGAGAAAUAUAUAUAUAUAUAUAUUCUACUCUACACUAAUGGUUGCAGUAUGUUUCAUGCCACAGCAUAAAUAGAAAACUCUUAUAUUUGUACAAUAUAGUAGCAUAAACUUGAGUUGAUUUAAAAGUGUUUUAUAUAGUUUAGUGAAAUAUUUAUUACACAUUCUUUAUGUAAAUUACAAGAAAAAAAUACAAAAUAUUAGAUAAGUCACUAACUAUAGUAGUCUCCCCUUAUCUGAGAUUUCAUUCUCUGUGGUUUCAAACACUGGUGAUCAACCACACUCUGAAAAUAUUAAAUAUAAAACUCCAGAAAUAAUUCAUGAGUGUUAAAUUGCACCCAUUCUGAGCAAUGUGAUGAAAUCUCCCGUGUCCUGCUCCAUUUUGACAGGGAGAUGAACCACCUCUUUGCCCAGUAUAUCCGUACUCUGUGUGCUGCCCAUCCUGGUCAGUGGCCGUCUCAGUUACCAGAUCAACUGUCAUGGUGUCACAGUGCUUGUGUUCAAGUCACCCUUGCCUGACCUAAUAUGGCCCCAAAGUGCAAGAGUAACGAUGCUGGCAAUUUGGAUAUGCCAAACCAGGAGCCAUAAAGUGCUUUUUUUUAAGUGAAAAGGUAGAAGUUGUAGAAUUAAUAGGUGAAGAAAAAAAAUCCUAUGCUGAGGUUAUUAAGAUGUAUGAUAAGUUACUGUCAUUAAUCUCCUACUGUAGCUAACUUAUAAAUUAAACUUUAUUUUAGAUAUGUAUAGGGACAACAUACUAUAUCUAGGGUUUGGUGCCGUUUGUGGUUUCAGUCAUCCACUGGGGUUUUAAAACAUUAUCCCAGGCAGUCAUGGGGGACUACUGUAUUUAACCUAAAUAAAAUAUUUUUAAAAAUUUACAGGAGAAGCUUGGAUUUUUUCCCAUGAACAUAAUAAUUUGACAUCUGGUUUUAUGUUUCAAGUGGCUAUACUAUAAUGAUCUCUUCUAAUCUCUCCAAAUUCUUAGUGGUAAAAGAAAAAAAAAAAACCAAUGAAAAACUAGACCCAAAUAAGUGGCAAAAAAAAUCAUGAAAAUCGUUAAAAAUUUUAUCUUCUAUUUCACGAAAAAAAUGUAAUGUUAAACUAUCCUGUGAUGGGCAUGGUGGCUCUGAAAGGUGUCCAUUUGACUAGGUGGAUUGCUUCACAGGAGUCCCCUCGUUGCUGAAAGCUCAGUCCUUGUCCCCAAUGUCAAUCCAAUAAUGAGGACACAGUUUGGAGAAAAAGUAAAAAGAAGGUUUGUUGCUUUGUUAGCAGAGGAGAAACACAGGGGACUCCUGUCCCGAAGGCUGUGAUGCUGCCCAUCAGCAGGAACGGGGGCUUUUAAAGAGGUGACUCAAAGGCUACAUUCCAGAGUUCUCUGUUGGAGUUGUAAUUCACUUGUUAACUUGGGAGACAGUCAUUUCUGGUGCCAUCCCCAAAGUCUGGAUUACUUCAUUCUUAUGGUGGGUGUGCUCAGGGACAGGUAAAUCUGGUAGGAUGAGGAAGAAAGGUAAUCCUGUUUCCCCUGAGACUGGGGAGGAGCAGGGAGAGAGGAAGAGAAAGAAACGUGUCCAUUUAAAAAAUAAACUGCAGGGGCAGAGCAGCCAGGGCUAUAUGCAAAGCGUGAAGUGGGCCUUCCCUGCGUGUUUCGCGUCAGGGUGGGCUAUGAGAGGCACUCUGCAAAGCUCUGGGGGUGGAAGUGGAGGUGAAGCCAUUCUGCUUGGUGUGCUGGGAGGUCGGGGCAGGUGCUUCUGAAAGCUCACUAGGUUGCUUAUCUGUUGGCUCAUCUCAUUUGCUUCUGGAAGGCUCUGGGCCUGAACCUGAUAUACCUUCCUCUGGAUCUUCCUUCAGCUUCCCUGAUCCAGGUGUGCAUUUAGCCCUGCAACCAAGAGUAUCCGCAGCUCCCUGGGGGAGGAGACGCAGGUCCGGGCCUUGGUUUCAGGCCACCCUUCUGGUUCCAGUUUGACUUCCCUCUCCCUCUUUACUCACAUCUUUUCCGUUCUUGGGCUUCAAAUCCAAUAUUCAAUGCAAAAAUAAUAUCCUAACAGAGACUGAUGAAUUCCCACCAACACUUAAAGUCAAAUCCUUGUAAUCUGACGCCUUAUCUCCUAGUGGUUCUGCUUUUCUAAUGGAACCUUGACUUAUGUACAAAGGACAAGUAGAUUCAAAUCCAAACAAAAUUUCACAUUCAAGUAUUUUUAAAUCUAGUGAAGCUUUCCUCCGACAAUACCCGGUUACUCUCACCUGGAACGGCCUGUGACUGCCUUGGCCAGUUGGGCAGGGACAGGCCUGCUCUCUACUUCUCUUUUUCUCCUAGGUUGCAGCCCCGCUCUUUAAAAGGACUCAGCAGCUCCUGCCUUGGCCUCCUGGUACGAGAGCUGCCAUGAAAGAAGGCCGCUGUCAUGCUGGAAAGACCGCGUGGAGGAGACCUGACUUGAUGUGCACAGGGAGAGGGCCCUUGGCGAGUCCAGCCAUCCAUCCCCGGUCAGGACAGAAGACCUUCACCUCAGGCUGCAGAACUCACUCACAGUAUAUUCAGAGGGGAGAAGAAAAUGCGACUUCAUUUUUCUUUAUUGGUUGAUACAAUGUUCCUCCCAAGUCUGUCCCUGGACUCCAGGGUUAAAUUGUAGCCUGACGUUGUAAACUUAGUCCAUUGGGCUCCAGGUGGACACUGGGUUUCCUUUCGGCUUUCCAAUGUCCCCUCCUUCCCUCUGCUCCUAGGCAGGUUCUGAGCAUAUAUGUGCCCGGUGGAUGGAAUCCUCUCUCAGACGUUGUGUGAUGCUGUCAGCUGGGAAGGUCCUGGCCCCCCUCGCUGGCCUGUGUGGCAGAGCGGUUCCCACAGGGAACCAGGGAAGUCUGUGAUGUUCCUUGAGGUGCUGGCAUCCAUCGCCGGAGAGCAUGGCUCCAGGGCUUGGUCUUUAUGCCCCAGUGAGGCUAAGGAAGGCGCUGGCUUGGUUCUGACUGCAGGCCCCGCUGCUCCUCCAGUACUUUCUAUGAGGGAAAAAGAGAAAGAAAGGAGCUUUCAGGUGAGAAGACGUGUCAGUGAGCUUCUGCUGCAGUGAUGCUGUGUAACAAACCACCACUGAUACUCAGGAGCUUAAAUACAUAUUUAUUUAGCUAAAUCAGCAAUAAAUAUUUAUUUAGUUCAGGGUGGGCAAUCUUUUUUUCUGUAAAGUGCCAAACAGUAAAUCUUUCAGGCUUUCCAAACCAUACAGUUUGAACUUUGUCCACAAAAGCAGCCAUAGGCCACAUGUGAAUAAAUAAAUGUCACUAUGUUACAAUAAAACUAUAUUG